CCUACGGGUGGCAGCAGUAGGGAAUAUUGCUCAAUGGGCGAAACCCUGAAGCAGCAACGCCGCGUGGGGGAUGAAGGUUUUAGGAUUGUAAACCCCUUUUGUGAGAGAAGAUAAUGACGGUAUCUCACGAGUAAGCACCGGCUAACUCCGUGCCAGCAGCUGCGGUAAUACGGAGGGUGCACGCGUUACUCGGAAUUACUGGGCGUAAAGAGGGCGCAGGCGGGAUUGUAAGUCAGAUGUGAAAGCCUGUAGCUUAACUACAGAACUGCAUUUGAAACUAUGAGUCUGGAGUGUGGGAGAGGUAGGUGGAAUUCGUGGUGUAGGGGUAAAAUGCGUAGAUAUCAAGAGGAAUACCCAUUGCGAAGGCGACCUACUGGAACAUUACUGACGCUGAUGCACGAAAGCGUGGGGAGCGAACAGGAUUAGAUACCCGUGUAGUC
RNAcentral lists this ribosomal RNA (440 nucleotides) under uncultured bacterium. Its description in RNAcentral is "partial 16S ribosomal RNA". It matches the Rfam family "Bacterial small subunit ribosomal RNA", at positions 338 to 795 of the family's 1533-position model. The record is from RNAcentral.